CUGCAACUCGCCUACAUGAAGUCGGAAUUGCUAGUAAUCGCGGAUCAGCAUGCCGCGGUGAAUACGUUCCCGGGCCUUGUACACACCGCCCGUCACACCAUGGGAGUCGGUAACACCCGAAGCCUGUAGUCUAACCGCAAGGAGGACGCAGUCGAAGGUGGGAUUGAUGACUGGGGUGAAGUCGUAACAAGGUACC
This 196-nucleotide ribosomal RNA is filed under the name uncultured bacterium. RNAcentral describes it as "partial 16S ribosomal RNA". It matches the Rfam family "Bacterial small subunit ribosomal RNA", at positions 1305 to 1500 of the family's 1533-position model. The record is from RNAcentral.